UACGUAGGGGGCUAGCGUUGUCCGGAAUCAUUGGGCGUAAAGCGCGCGUAGGUGGCCUCGUAAGUCCGCUGUGAAAGUCAAAGGCUCAACCUUUGAAAGCCGGUGGAUACUGUGGGGCUAGAGUACGGAAGAGGCGAGUGGAAUUCCUGGUGUAGCGGUGGAAUGCGCAGAUAUCAGGAGGAACACCAAUAGCGAAGGCAGCUCGCUGGGACGUUACUGACACUGAGGCGCGAAAGCGUGGGGAGCGAACAGG
RNAcentral lists this ribosomal RNA (253 nucleotides) under uncultured bacterium. RNAcentral's name for it is "partial 16S ribosomal RNA". It matches the Rfam family "Bacterial small subunit ribosomal RNA", at positions 524 to 776 of the family's 1533-position model. The record is from RNAcentral.